GCUAGGUAUAGUGGCAUGCACCUGUAGCCCCAGCUGCUUGGGAAGCCGAGGCAGGAGGAUUGCUUAAGCCCAACAAUUUGGGGCUAGCCUGGGCAACAUAGCAAGACCCCCAUCUCUU
RNAcentral lists this small RNA (118 nucleotides) under Marmota monax (woodchuck). Lineage: Eukaryota; Metazoa; Chordata; Mammalia; Rodentia; Sciuridae. The record is from RNAcentral.